This 377-nucleotide unclassified non-coding RNA is filed under the name uncultured bacterium. RNAcentral's name for it is "contains 16S-23S intergenic spacer region". The record is from RNAcentral.
UCCGGUUUGUCACCGGCAGUCCCAUUAGAGUGCCCAACUGAAUGUAGCAACUAAUGGCAAGGGUUGCGCUCGUUGCGGGACUUAACCCAACAUCUCACGACACGAGCUGACGACAGCCAUGCAGCACCUCUAUGGCGGCCCCCGAAGGGGAAGCCCUGUUUCUAGGACCGUCCACCACAGUUCAAACCCAGGUAAGGUUCUUCGCGUUGCGUCGAAUUAAACCACAUGCUCCGCUGCUUGUGCGGGUCCCCGUCAAUUCCUUUGAGUUUUAGCCUUGCGGCCGUACUCCCCAGGCGGGGCACUUAAUGCGUUAGCUGCGGCACCCAGGGGGUCAAUACCCCGGACACCUAGUGCCCAUCGUUUACAGCGUGGACUAC